RNAcentral lists this ribosomal RNA (895 nucleotides) under Vibrio sp. Hep-1b-8. RNAcentral describes it as "partial 23S ribosomal RNA". It matches the Rfam family "Bacterial large subunit ribosomal RNA", at positions 465 to 1365 of the family's 2925-position model. Lineage: Bacteria; Pseudomonadati; Pseudomonadota; Gammaproteobacteria; Vibrionales; Vibrionaceae. The record is from RNAcentral.
GCUAAAUACUACUGACUGACCGAUAGUGAACCAGUACCGUGAGGGAAAGGCGAAAAGAACCCCUGUGAGGGGAGUGAAAUAGAACCUGAAACCGUGUACGUACAAGCAGUAGGAGCACCCUCGUGGUGUGACUGCGUACCUUUUGUAUAAUGGGUCAGCGACUUAUAUUCAGUAGCAAGGUUAACCAUCUAGGGGAGCCGUAGAGAAAUCGAGUCUUAACUGGGCGUCGAGUUGCUGGAUAUAGACCCGAAACCAGGUGAUCUAGCCAUGGGCAGGUUGAAGGUUGAGUAACAUCAACUGGAGGACCGAACCGACUAAUGUUGAAAAAUUAGCGGAUGACUUGUGGCUAGGGGUGAAAGGCCAAUCAAACCUGGAGAUAGCUGGUUCUCCCCGAAAUCUAUUUAGGUAGAGCCUCGGACGAAUACUACUGGGGGUAUAGCACUGUUAAGGCUAGGGGGUCAUCCCGACUUACCAACCCUUUGCAAACUCCGAAUACCAGUAAGUACUAUCCGGGAGACACACGGCGGGUGCUAACGUCCGUCGUGGAGAGGGAAACAACCCAGACCGCCAGCUAAGGUCCCAAAUUAUAGCUAAGUGGGAAACGAUGUGGGAAGGCUUAGACAGCUAGGAUGUUGGCUUAGAAGCAGCCAUCAUUUAAAGAAAGCGUAAUAGCUCACUAGUCGAGUCGGCCUGCGCGGAAGAUGUAACGGGGCUAAGCUAUAAACCGAAGCUGCGGCAAUGACUUUUAGUCAUUGGGUAGGGGAGCGUUCUGUAAGCCGUUGAAGGUGUGUUGUAAAGCAUGCUGGAGGUAUCAGAAGUGCGAAUGCUGACAUGAGUAACGAUAAAGGGGGUGAAAAACCUCCUCGCCGGAAGACCAAGGGUUCCUGUCCAACGU